UGAAAAUGGAGGGGAUGAGUUGUGGAUAGGGGUGAAAGGCCAAUCAAACACCGUGAUAGCUGGUUCUCCCCGAAAUGCAUUUAGGUGCAGCGUUGCGUGGUUCUUGUUGGAGGUAGAGCACUGGAUGGUCUAGGGGGCUUAUCGGCUUACCGAAAUCAGCCAAACUCCGAAUGCUGGCAAGUGUAGCGUGGCAGUGAGACGGCGGGGGAUAAGCUUCGUCGUCGAGAGGGAAACAGCCCAGAUCAUCAGCUAAGGCCCCUAAGUGGUAACUGAGUGGGAAAGGAUGUGGAGUUGCGUAGACAACCAGGAGGUUGGCUUGGAAGCAGCCAUCCUUGAAAGAGUGCGUAAUAGCUCACUGGUCAAGUGAUUCCGCGCCGAUAAUGUAGCGGGGCUUAAGUUAUUCGCCGAAGCUGUGGCAACCGUGUUCGGUUGGGUAGGGGAGCGUCGUGUCAGUGGUGAAGCUGCCGGGUGACUGUGUGGUGGAGUUGAUGCGAGUGAGAAUGCAGGCAUGAGUAGCGUUUGACGGGUGGGAAUCCCGUCCGCCGAUUAUCCAAGGGUUCCAGGGUGAAGUUUGUCUGCCCUGGGUGAGUCGGGUCCUAAGGCGAGGCCGACAGGCGUAGUCGAUGGGUAACCAGUUGAUAUUCUGGUACCGGCUUGUCACCGUCCGUGUCGAGGUGUGUGAUGCUAAGCAUGUGAGCUUGUCUUGGGAGUGUUUUUGAUGCUUCUGGGGUGGGUGAGUGUGUGAACCGAUCAUGUAGUAGGCAAGCUGCGGAGGGACGCAGUGAGGUAGCUCAUCCCCGGUGAUGGUUGUCCGGGGCUAAGUGUGUGGACUGUCUGGUAGGUAAAUCCGCUGGGCGUGUAAGUUGAGGCAUGAUGGCGAGCCUGCGUGUGUGGGUGAGUGAGUGAUCCUGUACUGUCGAGAAAAGCUUCGUGAGCGAGGUGGUGUGUCCGCCCGUACCCUAAACCGACACUGGUGGAUAGGUAGAGUAUACUGAGGCGUUCGAGUGAAUCGUAGUGAAGGAACUCGGCAAAAUGCCCCCGUAACUUUGGGAUAAGGGGGACCUGAGCUGUCGUGCACCCGUGCGGUGUGGUGGCGGUGAGGGGCGCAGAGUCCAGGGGGAAACGACUGUUUACCAAAAACACAGGUCCGUGCGAAGUCGUAAGACGAUGUAUACGGACUGACUCCUGCCCGGUGCUGGAAGGUUAAGGGGAACUGUGAGUGUAUGCGUAGCGGUGAACUUAAGCCCCAGUAAACGGCGGUGGUAACUAUAACCAUCCUAAGGUAGCGAAAUUCCUUGUCGGGUAAGUUCCGACCUGCACGAAUGGAGUAACGAUUUCCCUACUGUCUCCACUACGAACUCGGUGAAAUUGCAGUACGAGUAAAGAUGCUCGUUACGCGCAGCAGGACGGAAAGACCCCGGGACCUUUACUAUAGUUUGGUAUUGGUGAUUGGGAUGAUUUGUGUAGGAUAGGUGGGAGACGUUGAUGCGGCCACGCUAGUGGUGGUGGAGUCGUUGGUGAAAUACCACUCUGAUUGUUCUGGUUAUCUCACUGUGGACCGUGAUCCGGUUCAAGGACAGUGCCUGAUGGGUAGUUUGACUGGGGCGGUCGCCUCCUAAAGGGUAACGGAGGCGCCCAAAGGUUCCCUCAUCCUGGUUGGUAAUCAGGUGGUGAGUGUAAGUGCACAAGGGGGCUUGACUGUGAGACUGACAGGUCGAGCAGGGACGAAAGUCGGGACUAGUGAUCUGACGGUGGCUUGUGGAUGCGCCGUCACUCAACGGAUAAAAGGUACCCCGGGGAUAACAGGCUGAUCUUGCCCGAGCGCUCAUAGCGACGGCAUGGUUUGGCACCUCGAUGUCGGCUCGUCGCAUCCUGGGGCUGGAGUUGGUCCCAAGGGUUGGGCUGUUCGCCCAUUAAAGCGGCACGCGAGCUGGGUUCAGAACGUCGUGAGACAGUUCGGUCCCUAUCCGCUGCGCGCGGAGGAAUCUUGAGAAGGGCUGUCUUUAGUACGAGAGGACCGAGACGGACUGACCUCUGGUGUGCCAGUUGUUCUGCCAAGAGCAUGGCUGGUUGGCUACGUCGGGUUAUGAUAACCGCUGAAAGCAUCUAAGCGGGAAGCAUGCUUCAAGAUGAGGGUUCCUGCAGGAGUGUUCCUGGUAAGGUCUCCGAGAGAUGAUCGGGUUGAUAGGCCAGAUGUGGACGCAUUGUAAGGUGUGGAGCUGACUGGUACUAAUAGACCGAGGACUUUCAUUA
This 2253-nucleotide ribosomal RNA is filed under the name museum specimen metagenome. RNAcentral's name for it is "bacterial LSU rRNA". It matches the Rfam family "Bacterial large subunit ribosomal RNA", at positions 790 to 2925 of the family's 2925-position model. The record is from RNAcentral.